This 301-nucleotide ribosomal RNA is filed under the name uncultured bacterium. RNAcentral describes it as "partial 16S ribosomal RNA". It matches the Rfam family "Bacterial small subunit ribosomal RNA", at positions 509 to 807 of the family's 1533-position model. The record is from RNAcentral.
CAGUAGCCGCGGUAAUACGAGGGGGGCAAGCGUUGUUCGGAAUUAUUGGGCGUAAAGGGUGCGUAGGCGGUUUGACAAGUCUUGUGUGAAAUCUCUGGGCUCAACCCAGAGUCUGCACGGGAAACUGUCGGGCUAGAGGAUGGGAGAGGUGCGUGGAAUUUCCGGUGUAGCGGUGAAAUGCGUAGAUAUCGGAAGGAACACCUGUGGCGAAAGCGGCUCACUGGACCAUUUCUGACGCUGAUGCACGAAAGCUAGGGGAGCAAACAGGAUUAGAUACCCCUGUAGUCCCUGUCUCUUAUAC